AUUGAACGCUGGCGGCAUGCCUUACACAUGCAAGUCGAACGGUAACAGGUCUUCGGAUGCUGACGAGUGGCGAACGGGUGAGUAAUACAUCGGAACGUGCCUAGUAGUGGGGGAUAACUACUCGAAAGAGUGGCUAAUACCGCAUGAGAUCUACGGAUGAAAGCAGGGGAUCGCAAGACCUUGUGCUACUAGAGCGGCCGAUGGCAGAUUAGGUAGUUGGUGGGAUAAAAGCUUACCAAGCCGACGAUCUGUAGCUGGUCGGAGAGGACGAUCAGCCAGACUGGGACUGGGACACGGCCCAGACUCCUGCGGGAGGCAGCAGUGGGGAAUUUUGGACAAUGGGCGAAAGCCUGAUCCAGCAAUGCCGCGUGCAGGAUGAAGGCCUUCGGGUUGUAAACUGCUUUUGUACGGAACGAAAAGCCCCGGGUUAAUACCCUGGGGUCAUGACGGUACCGUAAGAAUAAGCACCGGCUAACUACGUGCCAGCCGCCGCAGUAA
RNAcentral lists this ribosomal RNA (498 nucleotides) under uncultured bacterium. RNAcentral's name for it is "partial 16S ribosomal RNA". It matches the Rfam family "Bacterial small subunit ribosomal RNA", at positions 30 to 523 of the family's 1533-position model. The record is from RNAcentral.